Frieseomelitta varia is the source of this 1067-nucleotide long non-coding RNA. RefSeq lists it as uncharacterized. NCBI's taxonomy places the organism in Eukaryota, Metazoa, Arthropoda, Insecta, Hymenoptera, Apidae. The transcript is spliced from 3 exons. The record is from RefSeq and is a predicted model, not a curated record.
UUACGUUUCCGUGGACUAAUUAUUAACCGUUUUACAAGUUUUAGUCAAAAUAUCAAUCACCUCUCGAUAACAGAGAGUCCAAUAAAGAAAAAGAAAAAACGCUGUAGAAUAAUACGUAACAACUUUUAACAAACAAAGGAGGAAAGCUGUCAAUACGAUCCAUCACGCAGUUAUUUAACGUGUUUGCUAUCCACGCCUCGAUACUGUCCCUGCAAUAUCUGCCGCGAUUGACAAAAGUAGCUUUUUAAAUCAAAUGACAUCUCCUAGAUAAAAUUCAUUCGAAACUGAAGGUGUGUGAAACCGAAUCGACGCGUAACGUUGAAAUCUAAAAGGGAAAUGCGAAGCGAAGCCAACACGUCGAAGCAAACGUUUUGUUUUAUGAAUUUCCCGAUAAGAUACGCGCGUUACAUCACCGUUAGUAAUUGCAUCGCGCUUCUACGCCUAGUGGCACGCUCGUAUCAACACGAGCUAGACUUUGUACUUUCCGCGAAACAAUUGCCAGGUUUUAUCGUCCGAAGGAUUUUCAAUCUCUUCUGUUCCUGCAACAAUUCUCGAAUCGCCGGAUAAUACAGCAACGACGUGUACAUGUACAUACGAAACUACGUGCUACGCGUUCUUACGUUCGCCUGUGUCGAAAAUUCAAUCAAGCAACGAAGCCGAAAAGGAACGAACCGGUCGCCCGGAGGAAAACUUGACACGUACGCCCGAACGGGCUUACAUCAUCUGGCAAUUAAAAUGCAGGCAGAAAUGGCAGCAUCGCUCGCACGCGCGCACGCACGCACGCACGCACGCACGCACGCACGCCACGGCCAAGCGCUGUAUUUCUGCGAUACGUCGGACGCUAAAAUAAUAUAGGAUGCAUUUGACUUUCGUCCAAUAUAUUCAACGGUGUCGUAUACCUGCUCUCACGUUCCGAAUAAAGAACACGAUCCCGCGGGGCCGCAUCGAUACACGACGCACACGCACGAACACGCAACGCGACUCCACGCAAUGCAUACGGGACGCAGAGACGCGGACGUGGUUGGCGCGCAAUGCCUUCGAGAUUCCCCGAGUCCCGUGUUAUAUGU